Sparus aurata (gilthead seabream) is the source of this 2823-nucleotide long non-coding RNA. Lineage: Eukaryota; Metazoa; Chordata; Actinopteri; Spariformes; Sparidae. The record is from Ensembl.
AUGGAUGAGAGUGAGAGGACAGAGUACCUCCGCAGGAAGGAGCAGGAGAAGGAGGACAGAAGGAACAAGGAAGAGGAGCGUAGAAGGACAGAAGAAGAGGCCGCCCUUCAGGCCGCAGAGGAGGACAGGCUGCGGGCCGAGCUGCUGGCCAGACAGAUGGCGCUCUUGCAGCAGCAGUUAGCCUUUAAAAGGGGUCUCAUGUUCGAGGCUGAAGGGCUGGAAAAAAGCCAGGGUAUCUCCAGACCGUGGAUCUACUCUUACUUCUCUCUGUUAGAGCUGCUGGGCCUGAGCUCAGCUACAGCUGGGACCUCGACCCCCUGACCUGAGUGUGAAAAGAACUGUGUUUGAUGAAAUUAAAUUAUUGUUAAGCCAAAUGGAACACACUGGUGAUGAUGACAAAGAUGAUGAUGAUGAUGAUGAUGAUGAUGAUGAUGAUGAUGAUGAUAGGAGAUGAACAUCUCCAGUUUUCAAUGAUAAAUGUGAUUGUUUAGUUAUUGUUCAGUUUCAGUAUUAGUAUUAAUAUAGGGGUAUUGGUCAGGGGCACGAUUUGACAAGAUCAGAAUAGUAUUACAAUACAAACACAAUUUGGGAAGGCAUCACAAUCGUGUACACGUCUCUAUAAACAUAUGCACCAAUGUCUAAUAUACUAUCAAAAUUAAACACCCUCACGUGUGAUAGAGUUGCAGUCUUUUUAUUGUCCCCAGCUUUUGAGAAGCACCUCCAAUUUUUGGCAGCAAAAGACCACAUAUGAUCUGAGUCAGAAGAGCUGAAUGAUCAGUCCAUACAUUGAUAAAAUAACACAACGCUUAAAUAGAACAACAACAUGUCAACUCUCUGACUGACCAGGCUGUAGGAACAGGCAAAGACAAAGCUGAGGAUUGAAACAACAUGCAGAGUAAACGUGUUAAGAUCCUUCUUUUUAGUCUCUCCUGAAGCUUUUACACACAUUACCAAUAUCUUUACAUAGGUGAAUACAAUGAAACUGAGAGGAGCAGCUACCGUGAAAAACAACAUCAUGAAGAUAUGACACGGUUCUGUUUGGUGAACAAGAAAGUUCAACCACAAGUGAACUCUGCUGAUAACAAAGCAAUAAAACUUUGAACGAAUCGUGAAUGACGAUAAAACUCCAACUUCUGCAAAAGAAACUGUCAAAAUAACAAGAAUGACUAUUUGUACUCUUCUUGUAGUGAUUGUGAGAUCAUAAUGUAAAGGCUUACAAAUACAUUUGUAUCUGUCAUAUGUCAUUACUGUUAGGGUUCCAAAUUCAAUUGCCACAUAUGAAUGAGUAGUAAAGUGAAUGAAGCAGUAAGAGGUUGAAAUUUCAGUUUCUGGCUCCAACAAGCUGGGCAACAAAGACAGACACAAGCUGUACAGGCACACAUACAUGGGCUUGUGCAGAUUUCUGUCCACAUACAUGAUGGGGCGGCUGUAGCUCAGUGGGUACAGCUGGUCGACUAGUGAUCGCUAGGUCGCUGCUGGUUCGAAUCCCGGCUCCCCUGGGGCGGAACUGAGCUACAAUGUCAAAGUAUCCUUGAGCAAGAUACUGAACCCCAGAACUGCUCCUGUUGUGCAGUUGGCACCUUGUGUGGCGGCCUCUGCCAUCAGUAAGGGCCCUGCGAUGAGCUGGCGACUCGUUCAGGGUGUACCCUGGCCUCGCCCAUAGAGAUAACUGGGAUUGGCUCCAGUAAACCCCACGACCCCUUGAAAAAGGGAGAUAAAAGCGGUAACAUCCCCGCGACCUUAAGCAGAAGAAAAUGAGAUGGGAUAAAUGAUCAUAAAAGAACUGUGUUUGCAAAAAUAAUUGCUAUGUAACAAAGCAUCCCCAGGAUGAAAUACAGGUAUAUAAAGCUCCCUAUGUUACAAUACAUAACACAAAUGAGAGAACCUGUGUUGAGUUUUCCACCUGUUUUCCAGUCUGUGUAGUUGUUUUAAGUCUUUUGAGGGUAUGUGACUGUCAACACAGGAAACCUGAGAGAAAGGCUUUAAGUUUUAACAUUCUGUGUGUUCACUCUCCAUGGUUUGCAGCUCUAGCUCAGGGGUACUCAAAUACAAAUGUGUCAUUCUUACUAUUCGGUGCCAUUUCAGUGUGGUAACUUUCUAUCAAAAAAUGUUUUUCCGUGUUUUUAACAUUUCAUCUGAAAGAGGGAUUUUCAAACUAUAAGAAGAAUGUAUUGGUCCAGCUAAGGAUAUUAUACUGUCAUAUUUUUUACCAAAUUCUUUACACAUCACGUAGGCCAAAUGUCCACCCUGUUACGGGACAUUCUCAUUUAUAUUAAUUACUGUUUUGAAUACACAGUUAUAGUGAUAUUUACAUUUUCUAAGAGCUACAGUGUCCCUUAUUUCACCCUGCAAGGAUAUUUUAAGAAAGUAUUCAUAAACAAGCAUUAUAUUGAAAGAAGACAUGUUCAGUUUUAGGGCACAGUGUAGUUUUUUUUCUCAACACAUUUCUUUUAGAUUUAAAAGGAAUACAAAUGGAAUUUGGCCCAUUUUUAAGUAAUUCUAUUUAGCUAACUCAUUCCCUUCAAAUAACCACAGAGACAUGCAUUAUAUUUGUUGAUAUGAUUUAUUUAACAUAAAAAACACACACACAAGUAACAGGGUGGACAUCACACCAGUGAACAACUAAAUAUUACUUUAAAGAAACUUUGAACACACCCCCACCUCCCCACCAACCACAGGUAGAUGCAUGUCCACAUUAAACAAUCAAAUUCACUGUGCAUCCAAAAUGAAGAACAUGUUUUUCUCACACCUCUCACCUCUCAACUUGCAACAGACCAGCAACAAGACAGGCAGACACACACACACACGCACACACACCCACAC